CGAUAAUGUUGUUGUUGCCGUGGCUACAAAUACGCUCGUUCCACUCCAUUUGCAUUUGGAGAGAGACGGAGGGAGAGUGAUGGAGGAAUCGCAGAAGUAUACGAAGAGAAAGGGAGAGGAGAAACAGGAACCCAGGAAGGCUUUCAGUGUGUGACAUCAGCUUGAUGCAGUUACCGUUAUGGAAACCAGUCCACUCAUCACUCUGAGCUGAAAAUCAUUAUGCGUCUGCAUGCAGAGAAAGAUGGAAAGAGCUGUAGGAAAAGACACGUGCUGGAAUUUGUCAAUACUUGACAUAAUUUCUAUGGACAGGGACAAAAGUCACCCAACCUGCUGACCCCAUGACAGACAGGUAU
Acanthopagrus latus (yellowfin seabream) is the source of this 353-nucleotide long non-coding RNA. RefSeq lists it as uncharacterized. The record is from RefSeq and is a predicted model, not a curated record. The transcript is spliced from 3 exons. NCBI's taxonomy places the organism in Eukaryota, Metazoa, Chordata, Actinopteri, Spariformes, Sparidae.